UCCCUGGUGGCUCAGAGGGUAAAGCGUCUGCCUGCAAUGCGGGAGACCCGGGUUUGAUCCCUGGGUUGGGAU
This 72-nucleotide transfer RNA is filed under the name Bos taurus (domestic cattle). It matches the Rfam family "tRNA". Rfam says of the family: Transfer RNA (tRNA) molecules are approximately 80 nucleotides in length. Their secondary structure includes four short double-helical elements and three loops (D, anti-codon, and T loops). Further hydrogen bonds mediate the characteristic L-shaped molecular structure. tRNAs have two regions of fundamental functional importance: the anti-codon, which is responsible for specific mRNA codon recognition, and the 3' end, to which the tRNAs corresponding amino acid is attached (by aminoacyl-tRNA synthetases). tRNAs cope with the degeneracy of the genetic code in two manners: having more than one tRNA (with a specific anti-codon) for a particular amino acid; and 'wobble' base-pairing, i.e. permitting non-standard base-pairing at the 3rd anti-codon position. Lineage: Eukaryota; Metazoa; Chordata; Mammalia; Artiodactyla; Bovidae. The record is from Rfam by way of RNAcentral. RNAcentral also lists the same sequence under 5 other names.